AGAGGCUUAGGAUAGCAUCCAGACCAAGGGCCUUCAAAGCCCNAAGCGGGAGUGAAAAUCUCCCAGCCCCUG
This 72-nucleotide transfer RNA is filed under the name Cichla ocellaris (peacock cichlid). Its description in RNAcentral is "tRNA-Trp". It matches the Rfam family "tRNA". From Rfam's summary of the family: Transfer RNA (tRNA) molecules are approximately 80 nucleotides in length. Lineage: Eukaryota; Metazoa; Chordata; Actinopteri; Cichliformes; Cichlidae. The record is from RNAcentral.